RNAcentral lists this long non-coding RNA (367 nucleotides) under Zonotrichia albicollis (white-throated sparrow). RNAcentral describes it as "lncRNA (ENSZALG00000006023.1)". Lineage: Eukaryota; Metazoa; Chordata; Aves; Passeriformes; Passerellidae. The record is from RNAcentral.
CCCUGGCUGCCAGCGGGGCCGCCUCGGUGUCGAUGCCUGCGUUAUUUUGCCCGCUCCGCCCCCGCCGGAGAAACCUCAUCCUACUUAUAGUGGCGACCGCAAGCGCCGAGCAGUCAUGAGUCAGCCGUGCCCAGCAUCGCACGGGGAGGCAGCCAUGCUUCUGCUUCUACCAGCCUUCCCAGGAUCUCUUCAACUGCUGCUUCAGCUACGGCAAACAACAGAACAAAUCCCAAAUCAGAGCCCUUGUUCAGCAAAGAUCUACACACAGAAGAAACAGCCUGCCAAAUACAGAGACCAGGUUCUGAAGUGGCAGGAUGACACAGCAGAAGAAAAAUCACAGCCAGGAAGGUGUGCAUUGUCCCAGUAG